CCAAAGGCUCUUUUCAGAGCCACUUAACCAUUUCCUAAGAAGAACUG
Regulatory RNA element from Loxodonta africana (African savanna elephant), 47 nucleotides. It matches the Rfam family "Histone 3' UTR stem-loop". From Rfam's summary of the family: The mRNAs of metazoan histone genes lack a poly-A tail. 3' end processing occurs at a site between a highly conserved stem-loop (modelled by this family) and a purine rich region around 20 nts downstream (the histone downstream element, or HDE). The stem-loop is bound by a 31 kDa stem-loop binding protein (SLBP - also termed the histone hairpin binding protein, or HBP). The record is from Rfam. Lineage: Eukaryota; Metazoa; Chordata; Mammalia; Proboscidea; Elephantidae.